RNAcentral lists this ribosomal RNA (253 nucleotides) under uncultured bacterium. RNAcentral describes it as "partial 16S ribosomal RNA". It matches the Rfam family "Bacterial small subunit ribosomal RNA", at positions 524 to 776 of the family's 1533-position model. RNAcentral also lists the same sequence under 1 other name. The record is from RNAcentral.
UACGAAGGGGGCUAGCGUUGUUCGGAAUCACUGGGCGUAAAGCGCGCGUAGGCGGAUUGUUAAGUCGGGGGUGAAAUCCCGAGGCUCAACCUCGGAACUGCCUUCGAUACUGGCGAUCUUGAGUCCGGGAGAGGUGAGUGGAACUCCUAGUGUAGAGGUGAAAUUCGUAGAUAUUAGGAAGAACACCAGUGGCGAAGGCGGCUCACUGGCCCGGUACUGACGCUGAUGUGCGAAAGCGUGGGGAGCAAACAGG